ACAAACAGCUAGGAUGUUGGCUUAGAAGCAGCCAUACAUUUAAAGAGUGCGUAAUAGCUCACUAGUCGAGUGAUCCUGCGCCGAAGAUAAACGGGGCUGAAACUUACUACCGAAGCUUUGGAAUUAGGUAACUAAUUGGUAGAGGAGCAUUCUAUACAGGAAGAAGGAGGCGCGUAAGCAAAUCUGGACAGUAUAGAAGAGAGAAUGUUGGCAUGAGUAGCGUAAGGCGGGUGAGAAUCCCGUCCGCCGAAAAUCUAAGGUUUCCUGAGGAAGGUUCGUCCUCUCAGGGUAAGUCGGGACCUAAGCCGAGAGCGAACGCUGUAGGCGAUGGAUAACAGGUUGAUAUUCCUGUACCACCGAGGAUUGUUUGAAUGAAGUGGGGACACAGAAGGAUAGAUUGAGCACGCCGUUGGUUGAGCGUGUCCAAGCAGUGAGGCUUGAAAGUAGGAAAAUCCGCUUUCUGAAAGGUUGAGCUGUGAUGGGGUGGUCUAAGACCGGUAGCAAUCGAUUUCACGCUGUCAAGAAAAGCCGCUAAUGAGAUCCAAGGUGCCCGUACCGCAAACCGACACAGGUAGAUGAGGAGAGAAUCCUAAGGUGAGCGAGAGAACUAUUGUUAAGGAACUCGGCAAAAUAACCCCGUAACUUCGGGAGAAGGGGUGCCCACGUGAGUGGGCCGCAGUGAAGAGGUCCAGGCAACUGUUUACCAAAAACACAGGUCUCUGCUAAAGCGAAAGCUGAUGUAUAGGGGCUGACGCCUGCCCGGUGCUGGAAGGUUAAGGGGAAGUGUUAGGGCAACCGAAGCACAGAACUUAAGCCCCAGUAAACGGCGGCCGUAACUAUAACGGUCCUAAGGUAGCGAAAUUCCUUGUCGGGUAAGUUCCGACCCGCACGAAAGGCGUAAUGAUUUGGGCACUGUCUCAACGAGAGACUCGGUGAAAUUUUAGUACCUGUGAAGAUGCAGGUUACCCGCGACAGGACGGAAAGACCCCAUGGAGCUUUACUGCAGUUUGAUAUUGCGUAUCUGUUACACAUGUACAGGAUAGGUAGGAGCCAAGGAAGAGUGAACGCUAGUUUACUUGGAGGCGAUGUUGGGAUACUACCCUUGUGUGAUGGCUACUCUAACCCGGUAGGUUGAUCAUCUACGGAGACAGUGUCUGACGGGCAGUUUGACUGGGGCGGUCGCCUCCUAAAGAGUAACGGAGGCGCCCAAAGGUUCCCUCAGCGCGGACGGAAAUCGCGCGAAGAGUGCAAAGGCAGAAGGGAGCUUGACUGCGAGACCAACAAGUCGAGCAGGGACGAAAGUCGGGCUUAGUGAUCCGGUGGUUCCGAGUGGAAGGGCCAUCGCUCAACGGAUAAAAGCUACCCCGGGGAUAACAGGCUUAUACCCCCCAAGAGUUCACAUCGACGGGGGUGUUUGGCACCUCGAUGUCGGCUCGUCUCAUCCUGGGGCUGGAGUAGGUCCCAAGGGUUGGGCUGUUCGCCCAUUAAAGAGGUACGCGAGCUGGGUUCAGAACGUCGUGAGACAGUUCGGUCCCUAUCCGCUGUGGGCGUUGGAAAUCUGAGUGGAGCUGUCCUUAGUACGAGAGGACCGGGACGGACUUACCUCUGGUGCACCAGUUGUCUUGCCAAGGGCAUAGCUGGGUAGCUAAGUAGGGAAGGGAUAAGCGCUGAAAGCAUCUAAGUGCGAAGCCCCCCACGAGAAAAGAUUUCCCCCGAAAGGUAAGGUCCGUGGGAGACUACCACGUAGAUAGGUCGGAGGUGU
RNAcentral lists this ribosomal RNA (1762 nucleotides) under human oral metagenome. RNAcentral's name for it is "bacterial LSU rRNA". It matches the Rfam family "Bacterial large subunit ribosomal RNA", at positions 1085 to 2870 of the family's 2925-position model. The record is from RNAcentral.